RNAcentral lists this ribosomal RNA (442 nucleotides) under uncultured bacterium. Its description in RNAcentral is "partial 16S ribosomal RNA". It matches the Rfam family "Bacterial small subunit ribosomal RNA", at positions 338 to 795 of the family's 1533-position model. The record is from RNAcentral.
CCUACGGGAGGCAGCAGUGGGGAAUAUUGGGCAAUGGGCGCAAGCCUGACCCAGCAACGCCGCGUGAAGGAAGAAGGCUUUCGGGUUGUAAACUUCUUUUCUGAGGGACGAAGAAAGUGACGGUACCUCAGGAAUAAGCCACGGCUAACUACGUGCCAGCAGCCGCGGUAAUACGUAGGUGGCAAGCGUUAUCCGGAUUUAUUGGGUUUAAAGGGUGCGUAGGCGGACUGGAAAGUCAGCGGUAAAAUCGAGAGGCUCAACCUCUUUCCGCCGUUGAAACUGUCGGUCUUGAGUGGGCGAGAAGUAUGCGGAAUGCGUGGUGUAGCGGUGAAAUGCAUAGAUAUCACGCAGAACUCCGAUUGCGAAGGCAGCAUACCGGCGCCCGACUGACGCUGAGGCACGAAAGCGUGGGUAUCGAACAGGAUUAGAUACCCGUGUAGUC